GACGAACGCUGGCGGCGCGCCUAACACAUGCAAGUCGAACGAACCAUAGAAAGCUUGCUUUCUCAGCUUAGUGGCGAACGGGUGAGUAACGCGUGAGGAACCUGCCCUAGAGAGGGGGACAACAGUUGGAAACGACUGCUAAUACCGCAUAAGCCCACGACGCCGCAUGACACUGAGGGAAAAGGAUUUAUUCGCUUUAGGAUGACCUCGCGUCCAAUUAGCUAGUUGGUGAGGUAACGGCCCACCAAGGCGACGAUCGGUAGCCGGACUGAGAGGUUGAACGGCCACAUUGGGACUGAGACACGGCCCAGACUCCUACGGGAGGCAGCAGUGGGGGAUAUUGCACAAUGGGGGAAACCCUGAUGCAGCGACGCCGCGUGGAGGAAGAAGGUUUUCGGAUUGUAAACUCCUGUCGUUAGGGACGAUAAUGACGGUACUUAACAAGAAAGCACCGGCUAACUACGUGCCAGCAGCCGCGGUAAAACGUAGGGUGCAAGCGUUGUCCGGAAUUACUGGGUGUAAAGGGAGCGCAGGCGGGAAGACAAGUUGGAAGUGAAAUCCAUGGGCUCAACCCAUGAAUUGCUUUCAAAACUGUUUUUCUUGAGUAGUGCAGAGGUAGAUGGAAUUCCCGGUGUAGCGGUGGAAUGCGUAGAUAUCGGGAGGAACACCAGUGGCGAAGGCGGUCUACUGGGCACCAACUGACGCUGAGGCUCGAAAGCAUGGGUAGCAAACAGGAUUAGAUACCCUGGUAGUCCACGCCGU
RNAcentral lists this ribosomal RNA (762 nucleotides) under uncultured bacterium. Its description in RNAcentral is "bacterial SSU rRNA". It matches the Rfam family "Bacterial small subunit ribosomal RNA", at positions 28 to 803 of the family's 1533-position model. The record is from RNAcentral.